This 4559-nucleotide long non-coding RNA is filed under the name Triticum aestivum (bread wheat). RNAcentral describes it as "long non-coding RNA (TAES_LNC018336)". Lineage: Eukaryota; Viridiplantae; Streptophyta; Magnoliopsida; Poales; Poaceae. The record is from RNAcentral.
GAAGCUUAUCCCUUCCAUACCACUUUUGACAUCCUUGUCGCCCUACCCUAUCCCCUCUGCACGUCACGUCGCUACUACCAUUAAUUUGGCCUUGUCGCCCUGAUCUUUUAACAUACGCUAAUGUGGGAGUAACUCACCCUGUGUGCUUGCCGCUUGGAUGGUGAAGGCCUGAAGUGACCUCUUGACGUCCCCUGAUCGAUCACAUAAGGUAUCUCUGAUUCAAGGAUUUUCAGAGAAUUUUCGGAGCACUGAAAUCCUUAGAAUUUCUGCUCUCGCCCGCUUUGUAGAUGAAGAACGAACCACAGUACACGGCCCAAUGAUAUAUAUUUCAGUUGCUUGAUUCUUCAUAGGAUGAAUUCUCCAUAAAAUUGUCGUACUGGUUUCUCUGAUCGCCCAAGUCAGCUGAAAAUAAUCCAUUCUUUUCUAUGACGCAAUGAAACAACAAGCCAAAUCAUAUAGACCUCGAAUGGGCUUGAUAUUUCAGUCCUACUUCCUCUGUAACCUAAUACAAGAGCGUUUAGAACUAAUGAUCUAAACGCUUUUAUAUUAGUUUAAUUAGUUUAAAGAGGGAGUACGUUAUUAUUUUCUGUUCAUGUAUAGUUUAAAUCCUACUCCGUCCGGUCCUAAAUAUAAGUUUUUUCACGGUCCUAAAUAUAAGUUUUUUUAAACAUUUCAAAUGGAGUACAAACAUAGGGACCUAAAUAUAAGUUUUUUUUAAACAUUUCAAAUGGAGUACAACAUAGGGACGUAUGUAAAUAUAUUUUAGAGUGUAGAUUCACUCUGUAUGUAGUCACUUGUUGGAAUAUUUAGAAAGAGAUAUAUUCAGGAACGAAGGGAGUACAAAUCAAAGAGGCCCUAUAUAUAAGAGAUAAAAAAAAUGGAUCACGAACCCCUUUUGCCGAUAUAGUACUUUUUCAAAACACAAAAUAAGUACAAUAGCACCACUUUACCAACCAUAGUACACAGAUAGGGUCAAGUAUAUAUGGUGCUUGGCAACUGUUAGUACUCUCAAUUAUUAGUUGUACUAUAAUACAUAUGUGCAAUGCACUGCAAAAGAAAAUCCUAGAGAUCGAUUAGAACACACAUGUCAAUGAUCAAUCGGGGCUUUUACUUGCUUGAUCUGCAUGCAUACCUUGGUGCUAUACUAGCAUUGAAAAGGUUAAUCAGGCUUCUCUCCAAUGAGACAGAACACUGGCAUAACUUGUUGUAGGCUAGGAUGGAUAUCACAUGCACCAUGUUCGGUGCUCCCUCUCCCUCUCUUUGCAUGUCAAUGCAACUACCAGCAGCUAGUAAAAGAAUCAAGAAAAAACCUAAGCUCUAGGCGGCCAUUGGUGAUGUGAGCUGGGAUGAGUGGGAUCCCGGAGUACUACAAAGUAGGAUCCAUCCAUCCAUCUUGUCGAUCUCCCUCCCUAGUAGUUUGUUUCCAUUACUAAUUCUCCUGCAACUUGCAUGCAUAUGCAUGUCUCUUUUCCUUUUCGAUCAAUCUGAUAUCUGAUCGGUGCACGUACGGCGUCCCUGGAUCGGUUGAUGAUCAGCCACUGCCGCCGCCGGAGCCGCCGUUGAUGACGCCGUCGUUGCCGAUGUUGAAGGACGGCUCGGGCGGCAGGAAGGGCGGCAGCGCGGUGAGCGAGGUGGAGGAGACCCGCCGGAUGGAGCAGCACCGCAGGAUCCGGCGGCGCUUGUUGAAGGGGUUCUCCGGCUUGGCCAGCACGUCCUUGCUGCUGGUGGUACCGGCCACGGCCACGUCCUGCAGGUUCGCGAACGACCGCGACUUGCCGGAGAAGAAGCCCGACAGCCCCCGCCUGCCAAAUCAAGAACUCGCAGAUUAACCCACCGACCGAACCAAGAAUUCGCCGAUUGUUCUUGCAAGAAUUGGUAGGGUUGUUAAUGGGGAUGAUAAUUCAGGGAAGGGAGGUGAAGCUGGAUAAUUACUUGAUGGGGAGGGCGUCGUCGAGGGCGUCCAGGCUCGCGAGCCCGCCGGUCUUCUUGGUCCUCCUCUGCCACGGCGUCUCCCUGGCGCUCUCCACCUCCUCCCCUUCCUCCUCGUCCCCCUCGGAGACGGGGCCAAUGGAGGACCGCUCGUUUUCCGCCUCGGCCUCCCUCUCCUCCUCUUCCUCCACCGUCUCCAGCACGAACAGCCCGUGGCCCUCACCGCCAAGCCGCCCCCCUUGCACCGCCGCCGCCGCCUCCUCCUCCUCCUCCUCCUCCUGGUAGUGCACGACGUCCUUCCUCUUCCUCGCCCCGCCGCCGCCGCCGCCGCACAUCCCGUACGGUGCCGCCGGGGACGGAGCCACCGGCGCGGGGCCCACGGCGGCCGCCGCAGCCACAACGGACAUCGCGUCCGGCCGUGAAGGGUGCUGCAGCUGCUCUCAUCAAUGGCGCCCGCAGGCCUCGGCGCGCGGCUCAGACGCCCAUGGCCUCGGCCACCAUUGGAGCUGCUAUUAUUGCUCUCGUCGCGAUGGUUCGGAGGACAGAAGGAGAGGACGGGGAGCGGCGCCGGGGGCGUAUAUACGGCCGGGGAGGGAGACGGGUGGACAGGGACGCGUGGAGGGGGGGACGUGUCGGAAGGGGCGAGGGUGACGGGCGCGCCGGACAGCGGAGGCUGCAUGCACGCCAACACGUUUUGGCUUAGCCUUUUGCGGGCCCAUGCCCCGUAUAUGGCUGCCGCGCCUUUUGUUUUGCCUAAUCAAAGCUUAUCGGCUACCAUGGCUUCCUCUUCUAGCACUUUCCCUCACAUUUCCGUAAAAUUCCCCGCGUAAUUUCUUGCCAACAAUAUAAUUUUUCGCAUUGAGCAGGGAAGGUUCCUUCCGAUAAUUAAUAGCAGCACAAUUUUUGCAAUAAAAAGAUGUUGGAUGUUGUUUUAUUUGUUUAUAAAUGCGAAGGGAGUCAGAAAAACGAUGUCCCAAUGCCACUAUGUAGGGAGUUCACCUCGGCCACUCUUGUUAUGUUUGCAUUUGGACCUAGCGACAAAUCCUUAUGUCUUAGGUCUUGUAGAUUUGUUUGCAUGCUUAUUUGCUGGCCUUUUUCGCACAGACUUGUUAUGGUGAUUUGUGAGUGACGGUCUGCUUACAUUGCCCAUCAUCCAUGGUGGUGGUGGUCUCUUUGAACGAAUUCACCGCUUGAAUGUUAAUGGAUGCCAUUAGUUAUCAUAUUCUCAUUGGUGGAAAUACAUUUAUUGCGUGAAUCAUCUUCGUUUAUCACAAUAUGCUAAAAGACGUGUCAGUACCAUCACUUGCCAUCUCCACAAGCUACCACAACGAGUUUCACGCGGAUAAUGGGAAGAUCCCCACUAGGUUCUUGACACAAUGGUGUGUGAUAAUGUACAAUGUUUCUUUGUCGAGAGGUAGUAAAGUGAUCACAAGCUAUACAACACAUUCAUGUCACCACAGACCCGUGAACUUUCGUGUCCCGGAUGCAUGUUAUGAAUAGAGUGGGACUUAAGAGGUUCCCUUAAUACGGCCGCCUAAAUUGUCGUAUUCAAUUUUUGCUUUAUCUUAGCCUUUUGCGUGCACAUGCCCCAUAUAUGGAGCGGCUUUUGUUUGGCCCAAAUCAAUGCCUUAUCAGCAACCACGCUCUUACGACUACCCCGUACGCGACACGACAUCUCCCUCUUCAUCUCUUCCGUUGCCAUGUUCCUCCGCAUUUCCGUCAUCUUGCCAACGAUGUUAAUUGGCAUUGAGUAGGGCAGGUUCCUACUAAUAAUUAAUAGCACAUUUAGUGAAAUAAAAAAAUGAUUGUUGGAUGUUAUUUUAUUUGUUUACAUGCAAAUGGAGUCCGAAAACCGAUGGGUCAUUAUAAGGGCAGUCCCAAUGCCACUCGCCAUAGCGGGUCCACGUUGGCCACUCUUGCUAUAUUUAUAUUCAGGUUUAGCAUCGAAUGUUUAUGUUUAGUCGCAUAGAUUUAUUUUCCUGUCCAUUUAGUGGCUUUCCGCUUAGCCCACAUAGACUCUCUAUGAUGAGUAGCGGCCCUCCAACUUACAGCGUUUCUAAUACUUACUUUUUGUUUAAUUUUCAAUGAAGUAUUGCAUACUAAAUUUGCUUCGUCGAAGCUUAUUUACAUAGCCAUGGCGUGAAUCCGCACGUGGUCGUUACUCACACCUGUGGAGUCCAGGGAGCUUUUGGUUACUGGGUGCAACCGUUGGGAGAUGGCAGCACAGGUUAUCUUCAACAGAUUUAGAUGGCGGCUAACUAAUAGGCUAGGUGUUUAGUCAUCGUAGCCUGUUAUUUUUUCCGCCGGAUGUGGCUCUUUUUUAGCCUUUUGUAGGGCUCUAUUUCUAAGUUCAUGUUUCGUUUUGCACUUUUGUUGGACAUGCUUUGAUUAAUAAUAUGGCUGCAUGCAUCCUCCGGAUGCAGAGGCCGGGGUAUCCUCCUUUUCAAAAAAAAAAACUAAAUUUGCUUCAAUUCAAAGUUUGAGAGUGAAAAUUGUUCCAAUCUUUUUGUACCUAUCGUAAUCACAUCUACUUUAGCAAACAUAACGGGAGGGGGCAUGGACGCUUGAGGGGAAGACGUGUCGAAAGCAGCGAGGGUGACGGGUGCGCCACAUCGGGGAGUUGCAUGCGC